Molecule: ribosomal RNA, 86 nt
Filed under: uncultured Lachnospiraceae bacterium
Lineage: Bacteria; Bacillati; Bacillota; Clostridia; Lachnospirales; Lachnospiraceae
Description: partial 16S ribosomal RNA
Source: RNAcentral
CAAUGGGGGAAACCCUGAAGCAGCUACGCCGCGUGAGGGAUGAAGUAUUUCGGUAUGUAAAGUUCUUCAGCAGGAAGAAAAUGACG